UACGUAGGGAGCAAGCGUUGUCCGGAAUCAUUGGGCGUAAAGCGCGCGUAGGUGGCUUCGUAAGUCCGUUGUGAAAGUCAAAGGCUCAACCUUUGAAUGCCGAUGGAUACUGCGGAGCUAGAGUACGGAAGAGGCGAGUGGAAUUCCUGGUGUAGCGGUGGAAUGCGCAGAUAUCAGGAGGAACACCAAUAGCGAAGGCAGCUCGCUGGGACGUUACUGACACUAAGGCGCGAAAGCCAGGGGAGCGAACGGG
Molecule: ribosomal RNA, 253 nt
Filed under: uncultured bacterium
Lineage: Bacteria
Description: partial 16S ribosomal RNA
Rfam family: Bacterial small subunit ribosomal RNA
Source: RNAcentral